GAUGAACGCUGGCGGCGUGCCUAACACAUGCAAGUCGAACGGUGAACCACUACGGAGGUGCUCAGUGGCGAACGGGUGAGUAACAGGUGGGCAACUUGCCCCCGGCUCUGGGAUAACUGCAAGAAAUUGGGGCGAAUACUGGACUUUCACCGCAUCCCGCAUGGGUGGUGAUGGAAGGGAUUUGCGGCCGUGGCUGGGUCCGCGGCCAAUCUGCUUGUUGGUGGGGUAGUGGCGUACGAAGGCCACGACGGUGAGCCGGCCUGGGAGGGUGACCGGCCUCACUGGGCCUGAGGCAGGCGCCAGAGUGCAACGGGGGACAGCGGUGGGAAACCUUACGCAAUGGGCGGAAGCCGGACACAACGGCGCCGGGUGGGGAAUGCCGGUCUUCGGGUAAUAAACCUCUUUCGGCAGGGACGAAGCGCAAGUGACGGUACCUGAAGAAAAAGCACCGGCUAACUACGUG
This 463-nucleotide ribosomal RNA is filed under the name uncultured bacterium. RNAcentral describes it as "partial 16S ribosomal RNA". It matches the Rfam family "Bacterial small subunit ribosomal RNA", at positions 28 to 507 of the family's 1533-position model. The record is from RNAcentral.